CCUACGGGGUGCAGCAGUCGAGAAUCAUUCACAAUGGGGGAAACCCUGAUGGUGCGACGCCGCGUGGGGGAAUGAAGGUCUUCGGAUUGUAAACUCCUGUCAUGUGGGAGCAAAUUAAAAAGAUAGUACCACAAGAGGAAGAGACGGCUAACUCUGUGCCAGAAGCCGCGGUAAUACAGAGGGCUCACGCGUUGUUCGGAAUCACGGGGCGUAAAGCGUGCGUAGGCUGUUUCGUAAGUCGUGUGUGAAAGGCUCGGGCUCAACCCGAGGACGGCACAUGAUACUGCGAGACUAGAGUAAAGGAGAGGGAACCGGAACUCUCGGUGUAGCAGUGAAAUGCGUAGAUAUCGAGAGGAACACUCGUGGCGAAGGCGGGUUCCUGGACAUUAACUGACGCUGAGGCACGAAGGCCAGGGGAGCGAAAGGGAUUAGAUACCCUUGUAGUC
This 446-nucleotide ribosomal RNA is filed under the name uncultured bacterium. Its description in RNAcentral is "partial 16S ribosomal RNA". It matches the Rfam family "Bacterial small subunit ribosomal RNA", at positions 338 to 795 of the family's 1533-position model. The record is from RNAcentral.